RNAcentral lists this ribosomal RNA (270 nucleotides) under uncultured bacterium. RNAcentral's name for it is "partial 16S ribosomal RNA". It matches the Rfam family "Bacterial small subunit ribosomal RNA", at positions 29 to 324 of the family's 1533-position model. The record is from RNAcentral.
AACGAACGCUGGCGGCAGGCCUCAAACAUGCAAGUCUAGGGGGUGUAGCAAUACAUCACCGGCGGACGGGUGCGUAACGCGUGGGAAUAUACCUAUUGGUUCGGAACAACUGAGGGAAACUUCAGCUAAUACCGGAUAAGCCCUUACGGGGAAAGAUUUCUCGCCAAUAGAUUAGCCCGCGUCCGAUUAGCUAGUUGGUGGGGUAAAAGCCUACCAAGGCGACGAUCGGUAGCUGUUCUGAGAGGAAGAUCAGCCACACUGGGACUGAGA